AAGUCGUAACAAGGUUUCCGUAGGUGAACCUGCGGAAGGAUCAUUACUGAGUGAGGGCCCUCUGGGUCCAACCUCCCACCCGUGUUUAUUGUACCUUGUUGCUUCGGUGCGCCCGCCUCACGGCCGCCGGGGGGCUUCUGCCCCCGGGCCCGCGCCCACCGAAGACACCAUUGAACUCUGUCUGAAGAUUGCAGUCUGAGCAUAAACUAAAUAAGUUAAAACUUUCAACAACGGAUCUCUUGGUUCCGGCAUCGAUGAAGAACGCAGCGAAAUGCGAUAAGUAAUGUGAAUUGCAGAAUUCAGUUAAUCAUCGAAUCUUUGAACGCACAUUGCGCUCGCCAGUAUUCUGGCGAGCAUGCCUGUUCGAGCGUCAUUUCAACCAUCAAGCUCUGCUUGCGUUGGGGAUCCGCGGCUGCCCGCGGUCCCUCAAAAACAGUGGCGGGCUCGCUAGUCACACCGAGCGUAGUAACUCUACAUCGCUAUGGUCGUGCGGCGGGUUCUUGCCGUAAAACCCCCCAAUUUCUAAGGUUGACCUCGGACCAGGUAGAAAUACCCGCUGAACUUAA
This 566-nucleotide ribosomal RNA is filed under the name uncultured fungus. Its description in RNAcentral is "eukaryotic LSU rRNA". The stretch from base 220 to 373 matches the Rfam family "5.8S ribosomal RNA". The record is from RNAcentral. Lineage: Eukaryota; Fungi.